Molecule: long non-coding RNA, 449 nt
Organism: Oxyura jamaicensis (ruddy duck)
Lineage: Eukaryota; Metazoa; Chordata; Aves; Anseriformes; Anatidae
Exons: 3
Source: RefSeq, a predicted model, not a curated record
UGUACCAGUACUAGGUACCAACUCUCAGGGAAGGUUAGAGCUGUGUAAAGCUGCAUAGGGAGGACCUACUAAGCCAUUGACCUGUGAUCUCUACCACAAACUGGAGCUUCACACCAGAGACUUUCUUUCCUGUGCUGCAGCCUAGCUACUCUCUGAACACCAUGGCAGCUCCAAUUCCAGCCAACUCAUUUCCAGCUUCAGACAUUUUUUUCUCUUUGGGCUAAAAAGAAAAAGGGUGUUGUGGUGAGAGGAUGGAAUUACCCAUCCUUGUUUUUCUGUUAUGCUUGACAAUGUGGUUGACCUCAUCAAUGUAUAUAAAUAUCUGAAGGGAGAGUGUCGAGAGGAUGGAGCCGGUCUCUUUUCAGUUGUACCCAGCGACAGGAUGAGAGGCGACAGGCACAAACUGAAGGACAGGAGGUUCUGGCUCAAUAUGAGAGGGCAUUUUUACU